AGCAAUAUCUCCUAGGAGAAUGUCGCAGGAAAUAUUGCAAAUUAUAGUGCCAGCAAUAUCUCCUACAAAAGCCUUUAAUGGAUGAUAAUAUAAUAUAUUUGGUUUUUAUGUUUUCCUUGUUGACUUUCAGGUGAUGAUUUCUGAAUUUCGAGAAAAUGAAGUCUUAUGUUGGCUUGACCUGAACGAGACUGGAAUUUGCCCUUCCCUGUUACUAAUUCACCUAGAAUAUAACUACAUAAAUCUUCACAUGGAAGCACUAUUCGAUGCAAUUACAUUGAACGACAUCAUAGAAAACCAUACAAUCCCUGAACCAUAUCGUCGGCCAUUUUGUCUGUAUAUUUACAAAGGAUUGUUGAGUGCAGUUAAAACAAUGCACGAUGAAAACUGGACUCACAGAGAUCUUCACGCUGGAAACGUGAUGAUACAGAAAAACACAAGUUCAGGCAAACUAGAUAUAAAGUUUUUAGAUUUUGGAACAGCAAAACAAAUUUACGAUGAAAAAGAGGGUGUCGAUUAUACUGGCAGAGACGACGACAUUCUACAGAUAGUUCGACUUUUCAGCGCAUUGUAUACAGGACAGCUAUUUGAAAGCGCUUUCGAUCUGAAGGAAAACUACAAAUCCGAGUUAGAUGAGGCGGCCAAGAGUCUAAACUUUUCAUAUGAUGAACUAGCUGAACUCUUCCAACUGGUGGAGUUAGCAUUAACUUGGCAAGAGGAACACAGCAGAGUUGUUACACAAAUACAGAUGAUAGUCCGACAGUGGUGACAAUUGAGCAUCUCAUUUCAGUGAUAGAGAAGAAACUCAAAUCAGAGGAUAUUGACAAAAUGUUUAAAGAGGUGACAGCCAUUUUGUUCCCAGAAAGUGAAUAUCAUAAUCUCCACACAAACAGUGAUUUAGGGUCAACGGGUUCUGCUUUGCCGCCCAACGCCGCCACCUCAGGGACUGUGAAGAGGACCGAAGAGGCACCUGCCCCAACAGAACCGACCACACCCACGACGGAACCAGACGACUUAGACACAGCCCCACCGGCUCCACCGGCCCCACCGGCCCCACCGGCCAACUCGUCUACAUGUCCAGCCCGGAAGGCAGCUGUUCACAAUCAGAAGGCAACCGCCCCCCCCGGGCGGCCAACCAGUCAAACCAAGCCGACCGUCUUCACAACCGCUGAAA
Molecule: unclassified non-coding RNA, 1171 nt
Filed under: Gigantopelta aegis
Lineage: Eukaryota; Metazoa; Mollusca; Gastropoda; Neomphalida; Peltospiridae
Description: proline-rich receptor-like protein kinase PERK2, transcript variant X4
Source: RNAcentral